RNAcentral lists this unclassified non-coding RNA (235 nucleotides) under uncultured fungus. Its description in RNAcentral is "sequence contains ITS2". The stretch from base 1 to 52 matches the Rfam family "5.8S ribosomal RNA", at positions 103 to 154 of the family's 154-position model. Lineage: Eukaryota; Fungi. The record is from RNAcentral.
AACGCACAUUGCGCCCUCUGGUAUUCCGGGGGGCAUGCCUGUUCGAGCGUCAUUACAACCCUCAAGCUCUGCUUGGUAUUGGGUGUCACCGCUGUGGUGCACCCUAAAAUCAGUGGCGGUGUCACCUGGCUCCUAGCGUAGUAAUACUUCUCGCUAUUGAGCUUAGGUGUAUGCUUGCCAUAACCACACUCUCAAGGUUGACCUCGGAUCAGGUAGGGAUACCCGCUGAACUUAA